RNAcentral lists this ribosomal RNA (473 nucleotides) under uncultured cyanobacterium. RNAcentral's name for it is "bacterial SSU rRNA". It matches the Rfam family "Bacterial small subunit ribosomal RNA", at positions 38 to 524 of the family's 1533-position model. The record is from RNAcentral. Lineage: Bacteria; Bacillati; Cyanobacteriota.
GGCGGUUGCCUUCACAUGCAAGUCGAACGGAAAUUAGCUUCGGCUAAUUUUAGUGGCGGACGGGUGAGUAACACGUGAGAAUUCGCCUUUAGGAGGGGGAUAACGGAUGGAAACAUUCGCUAAAACCCCAUAUGCCCCUGGGUGAAACAGAGGAGAUAAGUAAUACUGACUCACCUCUGCCUGAAGAGAAGCUCGCGGCUGAUUAGCUAGUUGGUAGGGUAAAGGCCUACCAAGGCGACGAUCAGUAGCUGGUCUGAGAGGACGAUCAGCCACACUGGAACUGAGACACGGUCCAGACUCCUACGGGAGGCAGCAGUGAGGAAUUUUCUGCAAUGGGCGAAAGCCUGACAGAGCAAUACCGCGUGAGGGAUGAAGACUUACUGAGUUGUAAACCUCGGUACCUUAAGGAAGAAGAUCUGACGGUACUUAAGGUGGAAAGCAUCGGCUAACUCCGUGCCAGCAGCCGCGGUAAU